Long non-coding RNA from Papaver somniferum (opium poppy), 439 nucleotides. RefSeq lists it as uncharacterized. NCBI's taxonomy places the organism in Eukaryota, Viridiplantae, Streptophyta, Magnoliopsida, Ranunculales, Papaveraceae. The transcript has 5 exons. The record is from RefSeq and is a predicted model, not a curated record.
GUGAUAUCAGGCUACAAAAUGAAACUAUGCAGGUCAAAUCCUAGAGGGGUUUAUGCAAUAUGAGUAUGUGAUGAAGUGUGACUAUGUCUAUUAUGUUGCCUUGAUAUUUGAAGAAAAACCACCACUGAUCAUGAGCUCUGAUGUUGUUGACGUCAACAUCAACAAGAAGAUAUCGCACAAUGAUUUCUUCUCUCCAACAAAUAGAGGGGGAAGUGAACAAUUUGCGGCCAUGGAACCUACUCAAUGCAUCAUCAUUGGUUAACCAUGCAGCGGCCAUGGAACCUCUCCUUCUUUCUUGAUCACCUUCCUCAAGUGUAGGAGAAAGCUUUCAUGAGCUAGACUUAGAGACAUAGAGCAGAAUAAAAAAUUGUUGUGGAUGUAAAGGACUUGUUCUCUGAUGAGAAAGCUUGCACGAGCUUGACUAAAGAGGAUUACAGCA